Molecule: transfer RNA, 75 nt
Filed under: Paenalicyclobacillus cellulosilyticus
Lineage: Bacteria; Bacillati; Bacillota; Bacilli; Caryophanales; Alicyclobacillaceae
Description: Alicyclobacillus cellulosilyticus tRNA-Gln
Rfam family: tRNA
About the family: Transfer RNA (tRNA) molecules are approximately 80 nucleotides in length. Their secondary structure includes four short double-helical elements and three loops (D, anti-codon, and T loops). Further hydrogen bonds mediate the characteristic L-shaped molecular structure. tRNAs have two regions of fundamental functional importance: the anti-codon, which is responsible for specific mRNA codon recognition, and the 3' end, to which the tRNAs corresponding amino acid is attached (by aminoacyl-tRNA synthetases). tRNAs cope with the degeneracy of the genetic code in two manners: having more than one tRNA (with a specific anti-codon) for a particular amino acid; and 'wobble' base-pairing, i.e. permitting non-standard base-pairing at the 3rd anti-codon position.
Source: RNAcentral
UGCCGAAUGGUGUAAUUGGUAGCACGACUGACUCUGGAUCAGUUAGUCUAGGUUCGAGUCCUAGUUCGGCAGCCA